GUGGGGAAUAUUGGACAAUGGGCGCAAGCCUGAUCCAGCCAUGCCGCGUGAGUGAUGAAGGCCUUAGGGUUGUAAAGCUCUUUCGCCGGUGAAGAUAAUGACGGUAACCGGAGAAGAAGCCCCGGCUAACUUCGUGCCAGCAGCCGCGGUAAUACGAAGGGGGCUAGCGUUGUUCGGAAUCACUGGGCGUAAAGCGCACGUAGGCGGAUUGCUAAGUCAGGGGUGAAAGCCCGAGGCUCAACCUCGGAACUGCCUUUGAUACUGGCAAUCUAGAGUUCGGGAGAGGUGAGUGGAACUCCGAGUGUAGAGGUGAAAUUCGUAGAUAUUCGGAAGAACACCAGUGGCGAAGGCGGCUCACUGGCCCGAUACUGACGCUGAGGUGCGAAAGCGUGGGGAGCAA
Molecule: ribosomal RNA, 400 nt
Filed under: uncultured Pseudoxanthobacter sp.
Lineage: Bacteria; Pseudomonadati; Pseudomonadota; Alphaproteobacteria; Hyphomicrobiales; Segnochrobactraceae
Description: bacterial SSU rRNA
Rfam family: Bacterial small subunit ribosomal RNA
Source: RNAcentral